RNAcentral lists this ribosomal RNA (492 nucleotides) under uncultured bacterium. RNAcentral describes it as "partial 16S ribosomal RNA". It matches the Rfam family "Bacterial small subunit ribosomal RNA", at positions 29 to 507 of the family's 1533-position model. The record is from RNAcentral.
AGUGAACGCUGGCGGUAGGCCUAACACAUGCAAGUCGAACGGCAGCACAGUAAGAGCUUGCUCUUACGGGUGGCGAGUGGCGGACGGGUGAGGAAUACAUCGGAAUCUACUUUUUCGUGGGGGAUAACGUAGGGAAACUUACGCUAAUACCGCAUACGACCUACGGGUGAAAGCAGGGGAUCUUCGGACCUUGCGCGAUUGAAUGAGCCGAUGUCGGAUUAGCUAGUUGGCGGGGUAAAGGCCCACCAAGGCGACGAUCCGUAGCUGGUCUGAGAGGAGGGUCAGCCACACUGGAACUGAGACACGGUCCAGACUCCUGCGGGAGGCAGCAGUGUGGAAUGUUGGGCAGAGGGCGCAAGCCUGAUCCAGCCGUACCGCGUGGGUGAAGAAGGCCUUCGGGUUGUGAAGCCGUUUUGUUGGGUGAGAAAAGCAGCAGGUUAAUACCCCGCUGUUCUGACGGUACCCGAAGAAUAAGCACCGGCUAACUUCGUG